UCGUGCGCUCACGGCCAGAGAGGAGCACCACCAGAUAUCGUCGUGAACGCGCAGCGGAUGUAGCCUCGAAUUUGUUCAUCUUGGGCGUGGAAUCUCGUCGCAGAGCUUCCCUUGGGCUUGCCGAAACGAUUUGGGGCAUCUCCGUGCGGGAUUGGCGACCGGAGCGACGGGGAUUUCUCGCCGGGGUCGCUGCAUCGCUGUUGAGCCGCGCCAAUGCGUGGGCAGAGCCACCGCCUGCCCGAAUUGAGGUAACAAAACCGCCAUCUAGUUCGCCUUUCCAGUUGCAUCGUGUAUCGCGGUCCAAAUCACGACUUCGGGCACGGGAGCGCGUAGUUGCUAGCCUCUGCCAUGGCUCCGCCGUGGAGCUCGGGCACGGCCACCGCCGUCUCCUGGCCGCGGAGUAGAAGACAAGAUUCGUGCCGUCCGAUCGGGAUUGACGGGCGUAGAUUAGAUCACGUGAGAAAGUACACCGGACCGUUGGAUUUGGAUCCAAUAGCGUGGAUUAGAUCAUGGGAUUGGGGAAAUUGGACCGUGGAUCUCAGAUCCAACCGCUCUGGUCGCGUACCGUUUCAGUUUAUGGAGGAUAUAAUCCGGGCCCUCGGUUCUGGAUCUAGCGGCCAGAAGUCACCCGUACCCCUUCGUCCGCGACAGUUUUGCACAUAAGACCCUCUGUUUUAGGAAAACGAACCCGCCGUCCAUGCAGAGGUAGUUCUGAGUCUUGGAAAUAUUUGCACCAUAGACCCUGGACUCUCUGGAAAUUGAUUCGAGGUCCAGACAGUGAAUUAUAUUCAUAAAAUCAGUUAGAAAAUGAAUUUUAGUUUUAAAUUUAUUGCAGAAACUUGAUAAAUUUAUAGAAAAUUCAUACUUGGUCCAAAUUAAUCCAUUCUAGUUUCUAAAAUUUUGUAAUAUUAUUCUCUAUCACUAAAAGUCUCUGUUUUGACAUGAAAACAGUAAGAAAAUUAAUUUCCCAUUUAAUCCUAUUUUAAGCACAUAAAACCUUUAGAAAUUCAUAUCUUAAAAUCUAUAACUCCAAAAAUAACGAUUCAUGUUCCUAGGAUUUUAUUUUAAUGUGUAGUUUACGUUUAUAUAUUUUGUUUACAUGUUUGGUGUGAUGUUAAUAUUCUCAAUACAUUGUGCUUGUUUGUAUUGUGGCGAGUAGAAGAACCUGUGACUUAGGAUCCUGGUGACCAGCAGAUAGAAGUAGCUGAGCAGGAGCUCAUUGAAGGCAAGUUGUGCCCUUGACCACUUUUUACCCAAUAAUGUUCUUUAAUACCACUUAUUCAUGCAUAGGUUUAAUUUUGAUGGGACUCGAUAGGUCACCCUAGACUGUUUAUCUCUUUACCUUGUUAUCCCGGAAUCACAUGGGUAGUUUUGCUAUUGCUUUACAUGGUUUUGGGAUAAUCUUUCAUUAUAUCCAUGUUCCAGUUAUUUUGUUAUUCUAUUUAUGUUCAUGUCAAGAUCAUUAAUGUUAAUUGGAACAUGAAGCUUAACUUGAGAAACACGUGCCGCCACAAGGGUAGUAUGGAAUGCCCUUGGCUGACUAAUUAGGAAAGCUAGUGGAAGACUAUCUUACCCAAAAGGGGCAAGGGCAGUAGGGGAGUUGCAUGCAAGAAGGUUCUCGGGUUGAUUUUGCUGCGAUGGCAGUCAGACAGGAGAUUCUUGCAAGUGCUCUUCCCAUAAACUGUAGCGGGUUUUCGGAAGCUAGUGGAACUUUGUAAAGGCCUCAUAGUGUUGCCCUGCCUCGCUUCCUUGGUAGAGGUGUAUGGGAGUCGCGAUCCCUUGGCAGAUGGGUAAUAUGACUUGUGGGUACAGGGUACAACCUCUGCAGAGUGUAAAACUUGUAUACUAGCCGUGCUCGCGGUCAUGAGUAGCUCAGGACUCUCGCAUGAUUAAUUUAUGGAACUUAAAUUCAAUUUGACAUUUGCAUGGGAUUAUUUAUUAAUUUUGUUCUAUUACUUUUAUUAUGGUUUGGUAUUUACUUACAUUUAGUAACUGCUAAUAAAAUUUUGACCAACUAAUUAAAAGCAAUGCUCAGCUUUAACCCCUGUUGUUGAUUAGCCUUACCCAUCACAUGAACUUCCACAUUUGGUGAGUUCAUGCCCACUGGUUUCCCCACAACUUGUUGAGCUAUGAUCAUGUGUGAGCUCACCCUUGCUGUCUCAGAACCCCCCACACAGGAGAAGAACAGGUGGUUCAGGAGGAGCCACAAAGCGAGGAGUUUGAUCUGAUCUAGGUGGUGUUUCCCAGUUGACUUGCGCUAAGGAUGAUCCUUAGUUCAUUUUAUAUUUAUCUUUUAUUUUGUAAUAAGACUUCCGCUAUGUAAUAAAUACUCUGAUGUUAUUGUGAUAUUUAUCUCUGUACACUCUGUUAUUAUUUAUGUUGUCUUCUUGGCGCAUGUAUGAGAUGCACCCGGCUGUGUUCCUUAAAGCCCGGGUGUUAUAGAAGUGGUAUCAGAGGAAAUGUUGACUGUAGGACGAAACCUAGAUAGAAUUGGACAACCCUUAGCUACUUACCUUACUCUGAUUCAUUCUUACUUAUCUUGAUCAUGUCUCACCUUUUGCUGUCAUACUCUGAUUAUUCUUAUCUUUUCUAUUCUAAGACAAGAUGGAUUUCACACCUUGGAAUCCUACAGAUAUGAUCUUUUUAAGAGAUAGGGAACCUAAGACAAAAUUAAAACUAUUUUCUUUAUUUAAAAAUGUUGGUUGGAUUUUCUGAUGAUAAAUGCCUGAUUUGCUUCUUUGAUUGAUUGAAUUAUUAUAGAUGGACAUCUUAGCAUGUACCACAAUAUGGUAUUGAGUUAGCUUUAGUAGGUAAAACAUUAAUCUGCUUAGCUAAAGAAUUCCCCCAAAGUAACAUGAUUCGUAACUACUUGCCUUGUCUACUAUUCUCUCUUACCAUAUGUUUCUAACUCAGAUGGUCAAUAUCAGGAAGGGUGGUGGAAUUGAUCUACCUCCCAAUCGGCACACUCGGAGGAUAUUUAGACAACCCCAGCCACAACCAGUGAGAUGGAUCCUCCACCGCCUCCACCAGC
This 3031-nucleotide long non-coding RNA is filed under the name Zea mays. RNAcentral describes it as "long non-coding RNA (ZMAY_LNC003760)". Lineage: Eukaryota; Viridiplantae; Streptophyta; Magnoliopsida; Poales; Poaceae. The record is from RNAcentral.